AUUGAACGCUGGCGGCAGGCCUAACACAUGCAAGUCGAGCGGAUGAAGGGAGCUUGCUCCUGGAUUCAGCGGCGGACGGGUGAGUAAUGCCUAGGAAUCUGCCUGGUAGUGGGGGAUAACGUCCGGAAACGGGCGCUAAUACCGCACACGUCCUGAGGGAGAAAGUGGGGGAUCUUCGGACCUCACGCUAUCAGAUGAGCCUAGGCCGGAUUAGCUAGUUGGUGGGGUAAAGGCCUACCAAGGCGCCGAUCCGUAACUGGUCUGAGAGGAUGAUCAGCCACCUUGGAACGUGGACACGGUCCAGAGUCCUACGGGAGGCAGCAGUGGGGAAUAUUGGACAAUGGGCGGAAGCCUGAUCCAGCCAUGCCGCGUGUGUGAAGAAGGUCUUCGGAUUGUAAAGCACUUUAAGUUGGGAGGAAGGGCAGUAAGUUAAUACCUUGCUGUUUUGACGUUACCAACAGAAUAAGCACCGGCUAACUUCGUG
This 484-nucleotide ribosomal RNA is filed under the name uncultured bacterium. Its description in RNAcentral is "partial 16S ribosomal RNA". It matches the Rfam family "Bacterial small subunit ribosomal RNA", at positions 30 to 507 of the family's 1533-position model. The record is from RNAcentral.